RNAcentral lists this long non-coding RNA (1156 nucleotides) under Urocitellus parryii (Arctic ground squirrel). RNAcentral's name for it is "lncRNA (ENSUPAG00010001225.1)". Lineage: Eukaryota; Metazoa; Chordata; Mammalia; Rodentia; Sciuridae. The record is from RNAcentral.
CCAGUGCCAGAGGAGAGCGGGAGACAAAAGUAGCGUUCUCCUCGUCCUCCUGGGCGGCAGCAGGGCUUCCCCCAGAGCCMCCCGCUCCUGGCAGCCCUGCCCCCGGGUGCCGGAGGGGCCGAGGCCCAGGCCAGGACCCAGGGGCCGAUGGAUGGUGGGCGGCCAGAGCCCAGGAGGCCCGAGGGCCUGUCGGACAGGGCUGGCACCUGGGGACAGCCUGCUGGCCAGCAGGACCCACCCUCUUCCCCUGCCCGGGUGACCGGUCGGGGCAGGGGACAUCAUUUUCAUUUCCUGGCUCUUGGGAAAGCGCCUCCGUCCUCCUGCACCUCGAACGUGGCCUGUCCAGGAAUACCGCCCCGGAGGUCGGGAGCCCACCGAGGGCCGUGGAAGACCGUCCAGCCCCUCGUGGCCCAGGUCUCAGCCCCUCUUCUGACCCUUCCAGGUGAAGCCCGAGGCUGUCCACCUGUCCACCUCAGGUCCUUCCUGGCUCCCCGUCAGACCAGAUGCUGCAGAGCGUCCACGUGGAAGAGGGACCCUCGGCUCCGCCUCCGUCACACCCUGAGGACUCACUGUUCCCAGCUUGGGGUUGUGUGCACCUGUCCCUCCGCAGGCUUGCCCAGCCUCGAGAGCCCUGGGGACAGAAGGUGCUGAGGUAGCCCCCCUCUCUGCCCUUCCACCACUCAGCCCUCCAGUGUGACCCCGAUACUCUCCAGUCACCUCUCCUGACUUGUCGGCCAACCUGGGAUGCCACACAGGUGAGUCUCACCUGGAGCGAGAAGAAAUGCCACUGAGGGAAACUGAGUCCCGUCUGCUGCCUGGCUGGGCCGGGGUCCAGGGGAGAGGACUUGUGGCCAGGGUGGGCCAGGGGUCUGUCUCUGUCCCCCACCGUCUCACGGCUGUGCAUGGUGAGCGCUGCAGGGUCUGCAUGAGCCCAGGCCCCCGGGGGCAGGCGGGUGCAGGCCAGGAGCAGGCUCUGGGUCUGUGAGGGGCCCACGCACACGUGUGUCCAGCUCUGCUUGUUCAUUAAGAGCAGCCCACCUGGGCGCCAUGGCCACACCUGUAAUCCCAGCUUCUUAGGAGGCUGAGCCAGUAGGAUUGCAAGUUCAAGGCCAGCCUGAAACCCUGUCUCAAAAAAAUAAAAAGGGCUCGGGGUGCA